AUUGAACGCUGGCGGCAUGCCUUACACAUGCAAGUCGAACGGUAACAGGUUAAGCUGACGAGUGGCGAACGGGUGAGUAAUACAUCGGAACGUGCCCAGUAGUGGGGGAUAGCCCGGCGAAAGCCGGAUUAAUACCGCAUACGACCUAAGGGUGAAAGGGGGGGAUCGCAAGACCUCUCGCUAUUGGAGCGGCCGAUGUCAGAUUAGGUAGUUGGUGGGGUAAAGGCCCACCAAGCCGACGAUCUGUAGCUGGUCUGAGAGGACGACCAGCCACACUGGGACUGUGACACGGCCCAGACUCCUACGGGAGGCAGCAGUGGGGAAUUUUGGACAAUGGGCGCAAGCCUGAUCCAGCCAUGCCGCGUGCGGGAAGAAGGCCUUCGGGUUGUAAACCGCUUUUGUCAGGGAAGAAAUCCUUUGGGUUAAUACCUCGGGGGGAUGACGGUACCUGAAGAAUAAGCACCGGCUAACUACGUGCCAGCCGCCGCAGUAA
This 493-nucleotide ribosomal RNA is filed under the name uncultured bacterium. RNAcentral describes it as "partial 16S ribosomal RNA". It matches the Rfam family "Bacterial small subunit ribosomal RNA", at positions 30 to 523 of the family's 1533-position model. The record is from RNAcentral.